GACGUAUUAACCUCCACUGGUGGGAAACGGCUGAGAACCAGUUCAGCUGCUGGCUGGAGUGAAUCCCAGCCCUGGCAGCAGUAGGUACUCUGUUACUGUCUGAAGUAGGAAAAAUCACUGUUGCUGUUUCCAAUAGAAAAGGGAAAGAAAAGCUCUAUAAGCUGAUUCAUUCUCUCCUUCAUUUGAAAAGAAGGAAAACAGGAGUUCAUUGUAUUCCUGAGUACAAAAUAUCCUCAGCAAGUGUGACAAAAUAUUGCCUAGAAGUUAAUUGCAAGCUGAAUCCCACAAUGCACACCUAUGAAUAGUGUGCGUGUUGGUUUGAUGUGGCAGAUGCAAGGAAAGCAGCAGUCAAGGUGGAGACUGCAUCUUGUAAAGGUCUUUGAGCGUAAGCGACAAAGUGUGUAUCACAAAUUGAGAAGGGAUUCCCAAGCCACCUGAACACCCAGGCUGAAGCACUUAACAGGAAUUGCUCCCUUUUUCUGUCUUUUAAAUGCAAAAUCCUACUGUUCAUCUGUGAGGCUCUGAAUGCACAGAUCUUAGAAA
Long non-coding RNA from Columba livia (rock pigeon), 543 nucleotides. RefSeq lists it as uncharacterized. Lineage: Eukaryota; Metazoa; Chordata; Aves; Columbiformes; Columbidae. The record is from RefSeq and is a predicted model, not a curated record. The transcript is spliced from 4 exons.